RNAcentral lists this ribosomal RNA (492 nucleotides) under uncultured bacterium. RNAcentral describes it as "partial 16S ribosomal RNA". It matches the Rfam family "Bacterial small subunit ribosomal RNA", at positions 29 to 507 of the family's 1533-position model. The record is from RNAcentral.
AGUGAACGCUGGCGGUAGGCCUAACACAUGCAAGUCGAACGGCAGCACAGUAAGAGCUUGCUCUUACGGGUGGCGAGUGGCGGACGGGUGAGGAAUACAUCGGAAUCUACUUUUUCGUGGGGGAUAACGUAGGGAAACUUACGCUAAUACCGCAUACGACCUACGGGUGAAAGCAGGGGAUAUUCGGACCUUGCGCGAAUGAAUGAGCCGAUGUCGGAUUAGCUAGUUGGCGGGGUAAAGGCCCACCAAGGCGACGAUCCGUAGCUGGUCUGAGAGGAUGGUCAGCCACACUGGAACUGAGACACGGUCCAGACUCCUACGGGAGGCAGCAGUGGGGAAUAUUGGACAAUGGGCGCAAGCCUGAUCCAGCCAUACCGCGUGGGUGAAGAAGGCCUUCGGGUUGUAAAGCCCUUUUGUUGGGAAAGAAAAGCAGCAGGUUAAUACCCCGCUGUUCUGACGGUACCCAAAGAAUAAGCACCGGCUAACUUCGUG